Molecule: long non-coding RNA, 313 nt
Organism: Drosophila montana
Lineage: Eukaryota; Metazoa; Arthropoda; Insecta; Diptera; Drosophilidae
Exons: 2
Source: RefSeq, a predicted model, not a curated record
UUUUAAAUAAUAAAACUCGUGUGUGUACUUUAUAUAAUAUUCGCCGCCUUUGUAGGUAUAUCACUUUACAAUGGGGCAAUAUAGGUUGUCGACACUGCAGCAAAUGUUAUUUAUGAUAUUUGAAGAUUUAAGCCAGCAACUGAGCUCUGCUGGUGCUUGUACAUAUGUAAAUAUAUAUCUCUAAAUAUAGUUAUUAAAAUCGAAAUAAGCUAACACCAAAAGGCCGCCAAACGACGGGCUAAUGCAUAUCAAAAAUUAUGUACAACCUUCAAUUAUAAUUGUAAUUAAAUAAAUAAUUUUAUUAAAACUGCAA